RNAcentral lists this ribosomal RNA (397 nucleotides) under uncultured bacterium. RNAcentral's name for it is "partial 16S ribosomal RNA". It matches the Rfam family "Bacterial small subunit ribosomal RNA", at positions 523 to 918 of the family's 1533-position model. The record is from RNAcentral.
AUACGUAGGGGGCGAGCGUUGUCCGGAAUGACUGGGCGUAAAGGGCGUGCAGGCGGCGGUGUAAGCCUGGAGUGAAAGCCCCGCAUUCAACGUGGGAAUUGCUUUGGAUACUGCAGUGCUAGAGCGCGGAAGAGGUAAGUGGAAUUCCCAGUGUAGCGGUGAAAUGCGUAGAGAUUGGGAGGAACACCAGUGCCGAAGGCGACUUACUGGGCCGUAACUGACGCUGAGGCGCGAAAGCGUGGGGAGCGAACAGGAUUAGAUACCCUGGUAGUCCACGCGGUAAACGAUGAAUGCUAGGUGUUGCGGGUAUCGACCCCUGCAGUGCCGGAGUAAACACAAUAAGCAUUCCGCCUGGGGAGUACGGCCGCAAGGUUGAAACUCAAAGGAAUUGGCGGGG